RNAcentral lists this long non-coding RNA (454 nucleotides) under Astyanax mexicanus (Mexican tetra). RNAcentral's name for it is "lncRNA (ENSAMXG00005006812.1)". The record is from RNAcentral. Lineage: Eukaryota; Metazoa; Chordata; Actinopteri; Characiformes; Acestrorhamphidae.
UUAAAAAGAGAAGCAGCAGCAGCAGUGAAAUAUGCGCAGGGGAGUCCUCUAGUGGAGGAGAUGAGCACAGACAGUGGGCCCAGCAGUGAGUGGAAAAAUGAGGCAUUUAGUUCUGAAACAUUCUUGGGUCAACUUGGGUCAACAGCAAAACUAGCAUUCUUCCAUAAGCAUUAUAGACAUUACCUUGUAAAGAGAAACAUCAACAGACCAUGAAGAAAGAAAAUCACAGAGGUUUAAUCCCAAAUUACACACUAUGGUGGAAGUAGUCGUAUGCUAUGAUUUGGUAAUGCUGGUCAUGCAGGUUGACCAGCUUGGUUAUUCUAUCUAACAAUUUUUUUGGUUUUAGUAGAAUGUUUUCUCUUUUCUCUUUUAGUAGAAUGUUUCUUAGAAUGUUCAACCUGUCAAUUUUUUGAGUAUUUUUAGAAUUUUUUUUAAAAUUCUGGUAACAUUACCG